GAUCCGGAUCGUUUUGCGGCGCGACCAGCUGCGCCUGAAGCUGGGCCUCCGUCGGCGGCUGUGAUUGCGAUUGCAGAUCCAAUUGCGCUUCCCGCGUGACGACAGGCGAGUCGCUGGUCUCGCUGGCGGGCAGCAGGAAACCGAUCACCAGCACGAUAGCGGCAAUGAUAAUGCCACGACGAUGCAUAGGCGGCAGCGGCUCCAUGAUGCGAAAAUUAUCCGGCGCGUGCCAGAUUUUCGCCAGGGUUGGUUUUAAUUCAAAGCGCCCGGGCAUGGUUUACCUCCUGCUCCGCAUCUCGUUCCUUAAUCAUAGAGUAUAGAUGGCUAACGCUAUGAUAC
Molecule: unclassified non-coding RNA, 339 nt
Filed under: uncultured fungus
Lineage: Eukaryota; Fungi
Description: partial internal transcribed spacer 1
Source: RNAcentral